This 405-nucleotide ribosomal RNA is filed under the name uncultured bacterium. RNAcentral describes it as "bacterial SSU rRNA". It matches the Rfam family "Bacterial small subunit ribosomal RNA", at positions 355 to 776 of the family's 1533-position model. The record is from RNAcentral.
UAGGGAAUAUUGCACAAUGGGCGAAAGCCUGAUGCAGCAACGCCGCGUGAACGAUGAAGGCCUUCGGGUCGUAAAGUUCUUUUUGAGGAGACGAGGAAGGACGGUAUCCUCAGAAUAAGGAUCGGCUAACUACGUGCCAGCAGCCGCGGUAAAACGUAGGAUCCGAGCGUUAUCCGAAUUCACUGGGCGUAAAGCGCGUGCAGGCGGUACAGCAAGUUGGAUGUAAAAUCUCCUGGCUCAACUGGGAGGGGACGUACAAAACUGCUGAACUAGAGGACGGCAGAGGAAGGUGGAAUUCCCGGUGUAGUGGUGAAAUGCGUAGAUAUCGGGAGGAACACCAGUGGCGAAGGCGGCCUUCUGGGCCGUACCUGACGCUCAGACGCGAAAGCUAGGGGAGCAAACGGG